UGGGGAAUAUUGGACAAUGGGCGAAAGCCUGAUCCAGCCAUGCCGCGUGUGUGAAGAAGGCCUUUUGGUUGUAAAGCACUUUAAGCGAGGAGGAGGCUACUUGGAUUAAUACUCUAGGAUAGUGGACGUUACUCGCAGAAUAAGCACCGGCUAACUCUGUGCCAGCAGCCGCGGUAAUACAGAGGGUGCGAGCAUUAAUCGGAUUUACUGGGCGUAAAGCGUGCGUAGGCGGCUUUUUAAGUCGGAUGUGAAAUCCCUGAGCUUAACUUAGGAAUUGCAUUCGAUACUGGGAAGCUAGAGUAUGGGAGAGGAUGGUAGAAUUCCAGGUGUAGCGGUGAAAUGCGUAGAGAUCUGGAGGAAUACCGAUGGCGAAGGCAGCCAUCUGGCCUAAUACUGACGCUGAGGUACGAAAGCAUGGGGAGCAAACAGG
Molecule: ribosomal RNA, 430 nt
Filed under: Fusobacteriota bacterium
Lineage: Bacteria; Fusobacteriati; Fusobacteriota
Description: Fusobacteria bacterium partial 16S ribosomal RNA
Rfam family: Bacterial small subunit ribosomal RNA
Source: RNAcentral